This 285-nucleotide long non-coding RNA is filed under the name Prunus dulcis (almond). Its description in RNAcentral is "sRNA ncRNA". Lineage: Eukaryota; Viridiplantae; Streptophyta; Magnoliopsida; Rosales; Rosaceae. The record is from RNAcentral.
AUGGAGAGGACGCAAGAGCAGCAGCAGAACAGGAAGCCAGCUGCUGGGGCUAGCGAAGCCAAGGGGAAGAUAGAGGAAGGGUUGCCAAUGAAGGACAGUCCGUACCUGCAGUACGAUGACUUGGAGGAUUACAAGCGUCAGGCCUAUGGAACGGAAGGCCAUCUCCAGGUGGAGCCCGGCCGAGGCGCCGGGUCCACCGAGGGCCCCACUGUUUCUGGCGCCAAUGUCUCCUCUCAGGGUGAUCUCUCCGCCACCGAAGCUAUUAACCGCCAAGGAGUUCCUUAA